Molecule: ribosomal RNA, 433 nt
Filed under: uncultured bacterium
Lineage: Bacteria
Description: partial 16S ribosomal RNA
Rfam family: Bacterial small subunit ribosomal RNA
Source: RNAcentral
AACGAACGCUGGCGGCAUGCCUAACACAUGCAAGUCGAACGAGACCUUCGGGUCUAGUGGCGCACGGGUGCGUAACGCGUGGGAACCUGCCCUUAGGUUCGGAAUAACUCCCCGAAAGGGGUGCUAAUACCGGAUAAUGUCUUCGGACCCAAGAUUUAUCGCCUUUGGAUGGGCCCGCGUUGGAUUAGCUAGUUGGUAGGGUAAAAGCCUACCAAGGCGACGAUCCAUAGCUGGUCUGAGAGGAUGAUCAGCCACACUGGGACUGAGACACGGCCCAGACUCCUACGGGAGGCAGCAGUGGGGAAUAUUGGACAAUGGGCGAAAGCCUGAUCCAGCAAUGCCGCGUGAGUGAUGAAGGCCUUAGGGUUGUAAAGCUCUUUUACCCGGGAUGAUAAUGACAGUACCGGGAGAAUAAGUUCCGGCUAACUCCGUG